GGGAUUCAAUAUGUAGGCGGGCUGGACCUCUCGGGGUUACAGCCUUGCUGAAUUAUUCACCCUUGUCUUUUGCGUACUUCUUGUUUCCUUGGUGGGUUCGCCCACCACUAGGACAAACAUAAACCUUUUGUAAUUGCAAUCAGCGUCAGUAACAAAUUAAUAAUUACAACUUUCAACAACGGAUCUCUUGGUUCUGGCAUCGAUGAAGAACGCAGCGAAAUGCGAUAAGUAGUGUGAAUUGCAGAAUUCAGUGAAUCAUCGAAUCUUUGAACGCACAUUGCGCCCUUUGGUAUUCCAAAGGGCAUGCCUGUUCGAGCGUCAUUUGUACCCUCAAGCUUUGCUUGGUGUUGGGCGUCUUGUCUCUAGCUUUGCUGGAGACUCGCCUUAAAGUAAUUGGCAGCCGGCCUACUGGUUUCGGAGCGCAGCACAAGUCGCACUCUCUAUCAGCAAAGGUCUAGCAUCCAUUAAGCCUUUUUUUCAACUUUUGACCUCGGAUCAGGUAGGGAUACCCGCUGAACUUAAGCAUAUCAAUAAGCCGGAGGAA
Molecule: ribosomal RNA, 544 nt
Filed under: Alternaria alternata
Lineage: Eukaryota; Fungi; Ascomycota; Dothideomycetes; Pleosporales; Pleosporaceae
Also listed under: 2 other names
Description: eukaryotic LSU rRNA
Rfam family: 5.8S ribosomal RNA (bases 168-321)
Source: RNAcentral